Molecule: ribosomal RNA, 359 nt
Filed under: uncultured bacterium
Lineage: Bacteria
Description: bacterial SSU rRNA
Rfam family: Bacterial small subunit ribosomal RNA
Source: RNAcentral
GAGUUUGAUCGUGGCUCAGGAUGAACGCUAGCUACAGGCUUAACACAUGCAAGUCGAGGGGCAUCGGGAAGAAAGCUUGCUUCCGAUAGGCGUCGACCGGCGCACGGGUGAGUAACGCGUAUCCAACCUGCCCACCACUUGGGGAUAACCUUGCGAAAGUAAGACUAAUACCCAAUGAUAUCUCUAGAAGACGUCUGAAAGAGAUUAAAGAUUUAUCGGUGAUGGAUGGGGAUGCGUCUGAUUAGCUUGUUGGCGGGUAACGCCCACCAAGGCAACGAUCAGUAGGGGUUCUGAGAGGAAGGUCCCCCCAAUUGGAACUGAGACACGGUCCAAACUCCUACGGGAGCAGCAGUGAGGAA